GGGCAUUGACUAUGCAGCUGGAGUAUGGAGCUUGGUAACAGGCACCGCCGUAUCCAGUAGCCGAUAGGCAAAGUUUCGGCAUUGGCAUUGGUGGCAAACCUGAAUUGCAGCAAAUAUAAAUCUGUUUGAGUGGGGUUUUAUACAAAAGGUCUCGAUGUUAUUAGGAGUGGAACCAUUUAUUAUAUGAGACUUUCUAUUUUGUUAAGUUUCCGAUGUGGGACUCGUGUAUUCUUCAACACUCCUCCUCACGUGGGACCACUUUUUAGUGGGCCACACGUGCAACCAAUUUGGUUUAAUCAGGCGCAGUCAACCGACCUGCUCUGAUAGCAUGUUAAGAUUUCAGAGGAACGGACCCUUGGCC
This 361-nucleotide long non-coding RNA is filed under the name Prunus persica (peach). Its description in RNAcentral is "long non-coding RNA (PPER_LNC006436)". Lineage: Eukaryota; Viridiplantae; Streptophyta; Magnoliopsida; Rosales; Rosaceae. The record is from RNAcentral.